This 611-nucleotide ribosomal RNA is filed under the name Dinghuibacter silviterrae. RNAcentral's name for it is "bacterial SSU rRNA". It matches the Rfam family "Bacterial small subunit ribosomal RNA", at positions 141 to 752 of the family's 1533-position model. Lineage: Bacteria; Pseudomonadati; Bacteroidota; Chitinophagia; Chitinophagales; Chitinophagaceae. The record is from RNAcentral.
GGAUAGCCCAUAGAAAUGUGGAUUAACCCUUUAUAGUACAACUGGUCGGCAUCGAUUGGUUGUUAAAACUCCGGUGGUUAGGGAUGGGCGUGCGUCUGAUUAGGUAGUUGGUAGGGUAAUGGCCUACCAAGCCAACGAUCAGUAGCUGAUGUGAGAGCAUGAUCAGCCACACGGGCACUGAGACACGGGCCCGACUCCUACGGGAGGCAGCAGUAAGGAAUAUUGGUCAAUGGACGCAAGUCUGAACCAGCCAUGCCGCGUGAAGGAUGAAGGUCCUCUGGAUUGUAAACUUCUUUUAUCUGGGACGAAACACUGAUUUUCUAAUCAGCUUGACGGUACCAGAGGAAUAAGCACCGGCUAACUCCGUGCCAGCAGCCGCGGUAAUACGGAGGGUGCAAGCGUUAUCCGGAUUCACUGGGUUUAAAGGGUGCGUAGGCGGGUAAGUAAGUCCGUGGUGAAAUCCUGCAGCUUAACUGCAGAACUGCCGUGGAUACUAUUUAUCUUGAAUAUCGUGGAGGUUAGUGGAAUAGGUCAUGUAGCGGUGAAAUGCUUAGAGAUGACAUGGAACACCGAUUGCGAAGGCAGCUGGCUACACGAUAAUGACGCUGAGC